AACAAGUAGUACAGUGAUGGCUUUACGUUGCGAGUAAACAUGGAAUGAUUGUUUUGCAGUUGUUCAACUUUGAUGUGCGAUCCCUCGAAUGGACUCCAUACCUAGAAAGUUACAUGUUGGGCAUUCGUAAGUACAUGUUCAAAGCUGAAGAUUCCAAGCUACCAGAAGCCCGGAAACACCUGAGAAGGCUUCACGUCCUGAACUUGUCCCUUCGGGUGCUCCUGUUCGUUGUUGCGUGGCGACUACUGAACACGCGGACAGCGUGGAAACUCUACUCCUUGGCGAAGUCGAGUGCGAUAGCGACGUGCCAAACGCUGCACGCCUUGUUGGAUCAGCUGCCGAUGCAUGUAGCCCGCCAUGCGGGCACUACGUCCUGAUGGUCCGCAGCAAUCUUUCGUGCCCCAAUAACCGCAGCCGUGCCGAAACCUGCUUGGACUUAUCGAGAGGAGUGUCACGUAAAAUAAAAAUGAGUCAGGCA
Dermacentor silvarum is the source of this 478-nucleotide long non-coding RNA. RefSeq lists it as uncharacterized. The record is from RefSeq and is a predicted model, not a curated record. Lineage: Eukaryota; Metazoa; Arthropoda; Arachnida; Ixodida; Ixodidae. The transcript is spliced from 2 exons.